This 535-nucleotide ribosomal RNA is filed under the name uncultured bacterium. RNAcentral's name for it is "bacterial SSU rRNA". It matches the Rfam family "Bacterial small subunit ribosomal RNA", at positions 950 to 1482 of the family's 1533-position model. The record is from RNAcentral.
UUCGAUGAUACGCGAGGAAACCUUACCCGGGGCNCGAAACGGCAGAGGGAACAAUUCCAGAGAUNGGUGCNGCCCCUUCGGGGCUUUCUGUCGAGGUUGCUGCAUGGUUGUCGUCAGCUUCGUGCCGUGAGGUGUCGGGCUCAAGUGCCAUAACGAGGAACCCUUGCCGUCAGUUACCAUCAAGUAGUGGUUGGGGACUCUGGCGGGACUUGCCACCCGCAAGGUGUGAGGAAGGGGGGGAUGACGUCAAAUCAGCACGGCCCUUACGUCCGGGGCGACACACGUGUUACAAUGGCGGCCACAGAGGGGCACUACCUGGCGACAGGAUGGGAAUCUCGAAAAGCCGUCUCAGUCCGGAUCGGAGUCUGCAACCCGACUCCGUGAAGCUGGAUUCGCUAGUAAUCGCGCAUCAGCCAUGGCGCGGUGAAUACGUUCCCGGGCCUUGUACACACCGCCCGUCAAGCCAUGAAAGUCUGGGGCGCCUGAAGUCCGUGACCGAGAGGAGCGGCCUAGGGCGAAACAGGUAAUUGGGGCU